RNAcentral lists this non-coding RNA (25 nucleotides) under Mus musculus (house mouse). Lineage: Eukaryota; Metazoa; Chordata; Mammalia; Rodentia; Muridae. The record is from RNAcentral.
UCAGCUCCUGGGUACUUUCUCUAGU